GACGAACGCUGGCGGCGUGCUUAACACAUGCAAGUCGAGCGAACCUUCGGGUUAGCGGCGAACGGGUGAGUAACACGUGGGCAACCUGCCCCGAGCUCUGGGAUAACUCCGGGAAACCGGGGCUAAUACCGGAUAUGACACCGACCGACAUCAGUCGGUGUGGAAAGAUUUAUCGGCUCGGGAUGGGCCCGCGGCCUAUCAGCUUGUUGGUGGGGUAACGGCCCACCAAGGCGACGACGGGUAGCCGGCCUGAGAGGGCGACCGGCCACACUGGGACUGAGACACGGCCCAGACUCCUACGGGAGGCAGCAGUGGGGAAUAUUGCGCAAUGGGCGAAAGCCUGACGCAGCGACGCCGCGUGAGGGAUGAAGGCC
Molecule: ribosomal RNA, 374 nt
Filed under: uncultured bacterium
Lineage: Bacteria
Description: bacterial SSU rRNA
Rfam family: Bacterial small subunit ribosomal RNA
Source: RNAcentral